RNAcentral lists this ribosomal RNA (955 nucleotides) under Salmonella enterica. Its description in RNAcentral is "partial 23S ribosomal RNA". It matches the Rfam family "Bacterial large subunit ribosomal RNA", at positions 1 to 888 of the family's 2925-position model. Lineage: Bacteria; Pseudomonadati; Pseudomonadota; Gammaproteobacteria; Enterobacterales; Enterobacteriaceae. The record is from RNAcentral.
GGGUUGUGAGGUUAAGCGACCAAGCGUACACGGUGGAUGCCCUGGCAGUCAGAGGCGAUGAAGGACGUGCUAAUCUGCGAUAAGCGCCGGUAAGGUGAUAUGAACCGUUAUAACCGGCGAUUUCCGAAUGGGGAAACCCAGUGUGACUCGUCACACUAUCAUUACGUGAAUACAUAGCGUAAUGAAGCGAACCGGGGGAACUGAAACAUCUAAGUACCCCGAGGAAAAGAAAUCAACCGAGAUUCCCCCAGUAGCGGCGAGCGAACGGGGAGGAGCCCAGAGCCUGAAUCAGCAUGUGUGUUAGUGGAAGCGUCUGGAAAGGCGCGCGAUACAGGGUGAGAGUCCCGUACACAAAAGCGCAUAUGCUGUGAGCUCGAUGAGUAGGGCGGGACACGUGGUAUCCUGUCUGAAUAUGGGGGGACCAUCCUCCAAGGCUAAAUACUCCUGACUGACCGAUAGUGAACCAGUACCGUGAGGGAAAGGCGAAAAGAACCCCGGCGAGGGGAGUGAAACAGAACCUGAAACCGUGUACGUACAAGCAGUGGGAGCCCCACCACUAAGCCAGUGGUGAACUCCACAUACGCAUCCUUUGCGGAAGGUGCGGUUAACGGAGCGUAAGCGACGUUUAACCUCAAAAAAAGCAGAGGGGGCUUAGUGGUGGGGUGACUGCGUACCUUUUGUAUAAUGGGUCAGCGACUUAUAUUCUGUAGCAAGGUUAACCGCAUAGGGGAGCCGAAGGGAAACCGAGUCUUAAUUGGGCGUUAAGUUGCAGGGUAUAGACCCGAAACCCGGUGAUCUAGCCAUGGGCAGGUUGAAGGUUGGGUAACACUAACUGGAGGACCGAACCGACUAAUGUUGAAAAAUUAGCGGAUGACCUGUGGCUGGGGGUGAAAGGCCAAUCAAACCGGGAGAUAGCUGGUUCUCCCCGAAAGCUAUUUAGGUAGCGCCUCGUGAA